This 45-nucleotide non-coding RNA is filed under the name Schistosoma haematobium. Lineage: Eukaryota; Metazoa; Platyhelminthes; Trematoda; Strigeidida; Schistosomatidae. The record is from RNAcentral.
AUUUGGUUGACGAGUCCGAAAUAGGACGAAACACGUGUCCUAAUU